Molecule: ribosomal RNA, 430 nt
Filed under: uncultured bacterium
Lineage: Bacteria
Description: partial 16S ribosomal RNA
Rfam family: Bacterial small subunit ribosomal RNA
Source: RNAcentral
CCUACGGGAGGCAGCAGCUAGGAAUCUUGGGAAUGGGCGAAAGCCUGACCCAGCAACGCCGCGUGGGCGAUGAAGGCCUUCGGGUCGUAAAGCCCUUUUGUAGGGGAAGCGGUACCCUGCGAAUAAGCCACGGCUAACUACGUGCCAGCAGCCGCGGUAAUACGUAGGUGGCAAGCGUUGUCCGGAUUUACUGGGCGUAAAGGGCGUGCAGGCGGUUUGUUAAGUCUAGGGUGAAAGCUCCCGGCUCAACUGGGAGAGGUCCUUGGAUACUGGCAAACUUGAGGGAGGUAGAGGAGAGUGGAAUUCCCGGUGUAGUGGUGAUAUGCGUAGAUAUCGGGAGGAACACCAGUGGCGAAGGCGGCUCUCUGGGCUUCCUGACGCUGAGACGCGAAAGCGUGGGGAGCGAACCGGAUUAGAUACCCUUGUAGUC